CCGCCCUGCGAUGGGGGUCCUGAGAGGCAAGGGGGUAAGAAGGGCUGGCUCUCACCCACCGCAAAAUGGGGGGCCUUUAUGUUCAGGUUUUGCCCAAGAGUCAGCUUAUUUGCGUCUUCUACUAGCAGGGUAGUUGCUGCCACUGCCCUCAAACAGGGGGGCCAUCCUUUAGAAAACCUGUCUAGUUGUUUAGAGACGUAGGCCACCGGCCUCAGCCAGGGCUCCACACUUUGGGUUAAAUGUCCAGCUGCCAUCUAUUUUCUCUCUGAUGCAUUCAAUGGAAAAGGCUUUGUCAGAUCGGUUAUCCCAGGGCUGCGGCUGCCGGAAGUUUUUCCUUUAACUCAUGAAAGACUUGCUGUUGUUGGGAUCCCCCUUCCAAAGGUUCCCGGUCCCCGCCCCCUUUGUGACCUCAUAAAAGGGCUUGGCUAAUACUGCAAAGUUUGGGAUGCACAGUCUACAAAACCCCACAGCUCCCAAGAAUUCCCUCACCUGCCUUCUGCCCUUAGGCUCCGGUAGAUUGCAAAUAACCUGCUUUCUUUCUGUUCCCGGGCUGAGUUCGGACCCCUGUCGGAGAGUAAAUCCCAAUGUUUUAGACGCCCAGUUGCACAACUUGAUUGCCUUACAAAUGACCUGCUUCCAGGAUGCGGAAAUUCCUAAUUUCUUCUGUGACCCUUCUCAACUCCCCCAUCUUGCAUGUUGUGACACCUUCACCAAUAACAUAAUCAUGUAUUUCCCUGCUGUCAUAUUUGGUUUUCUUCCCAUCUCUGGGACCCUUUUCUCUUACUAUAAAAUUGUUUCCUCCAUUCUGAGUGUUUCAUCAUCACGUGGGCAGUAUAAGGCCUUCUCCACCUGUGGGUCUCACCUGUCAGUUGUUUGCUGAUUUUACGGAACGGGCGUUGGAGGGUACUUCAGUUCAGAUGUGUCAUCUUCCCCGAGAAAGGCUGCAGUGGCCUCAGUGAUGUACACGGUGAUCACCCCAUGCUGAACCCCUUCAUCUACAGCCUGAGAAACAGGCAUAUUAAAAGUGUCCUGCGGCG
Molecule: long non-coding RNA, 1037 nt
Filed under: Homo sapiens (human)
Lineage: Eukaryota; Metazoa; Chordata; Mammalia; Primates; Hominidae
Description: non-protein coding LINC00355:14
Source: RNAcentral